UCUGAUCAUUUUGGAACCUAUAGGCGGAACUACAGGUGAAAGUGACACUGCAAGCUGAAUGAGGGACGGUAAUGUACUGAUGGAGAGGCCUAGAAAGGAACGUAGGCAAACGAGCCAAUAAGGAACAGACGCAUUCGCUAUCCACAGCUUUCAUCCACCUGCAACAUUCGUCUUCUGCAGGAGUAGUUUCUUGAUACCCAAGGCUUGAAGGAGAUGACAGUAGUGAUGAGUGCGCGAGUGUAAAUGCUGGUGGAGUUGGUGGAGCAGGUGGAGUUGGUGGAGCUGGUGGAGCUGGUGGAGCAGGUGGAGAUGGUGGAGGCAAAGGGGUAUAUGGCAAAUUUUGACAUGCAUGGUUCACAAGUGUAAAUUGGGAGAGACAAAGUGGACGAGGGACAAUAGAAGGAUUAGGCGCAAAUUGACUGUUUGAUCCUCCUAGGUGAAUUAUUACUAGGAGUAACAAAGUUGAAACCAUUCCUUGGAUCAUGUUCAUUUUGCUUAUGCUUCCUUCUUGUGUUU
RNAcentral lists this long non-coding RNA (516 nucleotides) under Capsicum annuum. RNAcentral describes it as "long non-coding RNA (CANN_LNC009068)". The record is from RNAcentral. Lineage: Eukaryota; Viridiplantae; Streptophyta; Magnoliopsida; Solanales; Solanaceae.